CUGCCUGGUAGUGGGGGACGAACGUUUCGAAAGGAACGCUAAUACCGCAUACGUCCUACUGGAGAAAGCAGGGACCUUCGGGCCUUGCGCUAUCAGAUGAGCCUAGGUCGGAUUAGCUAGUUGGUGAGGUAAUGGCUCACCAAGGCGACGAUCCGUAACUGGUCUGAGAGGAUGAUCAGUCACACUGGAACUGAGACACGGUCCAGACUCCUACGGGAGGCAGCAGCC
RNAcentral lists this ribosomal RNA (228 nucleotides) under uncultured Pseudomonas sp. RNAcentral's name for it is "partial 16S ribosomal RNA". It matches the Rfam family "Bacterial small subunit ribosomal RNA", at positions 126 to 355 of the family's 1533-position model. Lineage: Bacteria; Pseudomonadati; Pseudomonadota; Gammaproteobacteria; Pseudomonadales; Pseudomonadaceae. The record is from RNAcentral.